RNAcentral lists this ribosomal RNA (531 nucleotides) under uncultured bacterium. RNAcentral's name for it is "bacterial SSU rRNA". It matches the Rfam family "Bacterial small subunit ribosomal RNA", at positions 306 to 834 of the family's 1533-position model. The record is from RNAcentral.
CCCCACAUUGGAACUGAGACACGGUCCAAACUCCUACGGGAGGCAGCAGUGAGGAAUAUUGGUCAAUGGACGAGAGUCUGAACCAGCCAAGUAGCGUGAAGGAUGACUGCCCUAUGGGUUGUAAACUUCUUUUAUAUGGGAAUAAAAUGUUCCACGUGUGGGAUUUUGUAUGUACCAUAUGAAUAAGGAUCGGCUAACUCCGUGCCAGCAGCCGCGGUAAUACGGAGGAUCCGAGCGUUAUCCGGAUUUAUUGGGUUUAAAGGGAGCGUAGGUGGAUUGUUAAGUCAGUUGUGAAAGUUUGCGGCUCAACCGUAAAAUUGCAGUUGAAACUGGCAGUCUUGAGUACAGUAGAGGUGGGCGGAAUUCGUGGUGUAGCGGUGAAAUGCUUAGAUAUCACGAAGAACUCCGAUUGCGAAGGCAGCUCACUGGACUGCAACUGACACUGAGGCUCGAAAGUGUGGGUAUCAAACAGGAUUAGAUACCCUGGUAGUCCACACAGUAAACGAUGAAUACUCGCUGUUUGCGAUAUAC